This is a non-coding RNA of Drosophila suzukii, 585 nucleotides long. NCBI's taxonomy places the organism in Eukaryota, Metazoa, Arthropoda, Insecta, Diptera, Drosophilidae. The record is from RefSeq and is a predicted model, not a curated record.
AAUACGUCUUUGCUCUCCGAAAUUAAUCACGAAAAUAACCAAAGUGCGGAAUGCGUCGUGCGUCGUGCGAUCGUCUCGAGUAACUGAAGAGAUCUCUCGCAGCGUCAGCAAGAUCGAUCGAUGUGGAUGUGGGCGAGUUUGAGGCGAUGGGGGAACCAAAAUACCGAUGGGGGCUGGUUUUGCCUUUUCUGAAUGUCGCUGGUGCCGCAUCUUCACUGCGAAAACCAGUUUGAAUUAUAGCAAUCCCGAACCGAUUGAUACAAGCUUUGUUUUCAAUGCAUAGCUAAAGCAUAAAAUCGAUGUUUUGGUUGCAAAAGAAAACUGCUCACUUGAAUAUAGAAUGUCCAUUAAAUACUUAGCAUUCUUAAUCCUGCUAUUGCCGCUGAUUAUUGUCAACGCUCAAAAAUCACGAAUCUUCUGCAGAGGAAAACGGGGAUGGGGCCAAUGCACAGCCAAUAAUAAGGAAUGCAACCUUCGACGCUAUAGAGACAGAUUUUGCGGGCCCAACACCAUGUGUUGUGCAAUGUAAGAAAUUAAAUUAAACUUGUGAAAUAAAAGCUUUACUGAUUAGUUCCCUACAGUUGA